This 455-nucleotide ribosomal RNA is filed under the name uncultured bacterium. RNAcentral's name for it is "bacterial SSU rRNA". It matches the Rfam family "Bacterial small subunit ribosomal RNA", at positions 340 to 786 of the family's 1533-position model. The record is from RNAcentral.
UACGGGAGGCAGCAGUGGGGAAUAUUGCACAAUGGGCGCAAGCCUGAUGCAGCCAUGCCGCGUGUAUGAAGAAGGCCUUCGGGUUGUAAAGUACUUUCAGUCGUGAGGAAGGUGUUAAGGUUAAUAACCUUAGCAAUUGACGUUAGCGACAGAAGAAGCACCGGCUAACUCCGUGCCAGCAGCCGCGGUAAUACGGAGGGUGCGAGCGUUAAUCGGAAUUACUGGGCGUAAAGGGCACGCAGGCGGUUAAUUAAGUUGGAUGUGAAAUCCCCGGGCUUAACCUGGGAAUGGCAUUCAAGACUGGUUAGCUAGAGUCUUGUAGAGGGGGUUAGAAGUUCCAUGUGUAGCGGUGAAAUGCGUAGAGAUGUGGAGGAAUACCGGUGGCGAAGGCGGCCCCUGGACAAAGACUGACGCUCAUGUGCGAAAGCGUGGGGAGCAAACAGGGAUUAGAUACC